UAAUAACUUAUUAAUGGAGUUGGAAAAUACGAACAAUAGUUUAAACACCAAAGAAUUUGGCGGUAUCUUAUUUAAUUAGGGGAACCUGUCCCAUAAUCGAUAAUCCACGAAAGUCUUACCUAAUUUUGAAACUCAGUUAGUGUACUGCCGUCUCAAGUAUACCUUUAUGAGAGUAUACAAUAAAUUAUAAAUAAAUAGGACGUCAGGUCAAAGUGCUGCUUAUAAUUAGGAUGGAGAUGGGUUACAAACUUAAUAGAGAUAUGGAAAAAUAUAUUAAAUAUAUAUUUAAAAAGUGGACUUAAUAGUAAUUAAAUAAUAAUUA
RNAcentral lists this ribosomal RNA (322 nucleotides) under Theromyzon rude. Its description in RNAcentral is "partial 12S ribosomal RNA". Lineage: Eukaryota; Metazoa; Annelida; Clitellata; Rhynchobdellida; Glossiphoniidae. The record is from RNAcentral.